RNAcentral lists this ribosomal RNA (629 nucleotides) under Nosocomiicoccus ampullae. RNAcentral describes it as "bacterial SSU rRNA". It matches the Rfam family "Bacterial small subunit ribosomal RNA", at positions 51 to 654 of the family's 1533-position model. Lineage: Bacteria; Bacillati; Bacillota; Bacilli; Caryophanales; Staphylococcaceae. The record is from RNAcentral.
CUAUAAUGCAGUCGAGCGCGACUGAUUACACCGUCCUUCGGGACACCGUAAUCAUCGAGCGGCGGACGGGUGAGUAACACGUGGGCAACCUACCCUUAAGACUGGGAUAACCGCGGGAAACCGUGGCUAAUACCGGAUAAUACUUUUAUACAACGGUAUAGAAGUUGAAAGGUGGAUUUCUAUCACUUAAGGAUGGGCCUGCGGCGCAUUAGCUGGUUGGUAAGGUAACGGCUUACCAAGGCGACGAUGCGUAGCCGACCUGAGAGGGUGAUCGGCCACACUGGAACUGAGACACGGUCCAGACUCCUACGGGAGGCAGCAGUAGGGAAUCUUCCGCAAUGGGCGAAAGCCUGACGGAGCAACGCCGCGUGUGCGAAGAAGGUCUUCGGAUCGUAAAGCACUGUUGUUAAGGAAGAACGACAGUAAGAGUAACUGCUUACUGUGUGACGGUACUUAACCAGAAAGCCACGGCUAACUACGUGCCAGCAGCCGCGGUAAUACGUAGGUGGCAAGCGUUAUCCGGAAUUAUUGGGCGUAAAGCGCGCGUAGGCGGCGAGAUUAGUCUGAUGUGAAAGCCCCCGGCUCAACCGGGGAAGGUCAUUGGAAACUGUUUCCCUUGAGUGCAGAAG